CUGGCGGCACGCUUAACACAUGCAAGUCGAACGGAGAAUAUUGGUUACUGAGUACUCUAGUGGCGGACGGGUGAGUAACACGUGAGCAACCUACCUUGAGAGAGGGAUAGCUUCUGGAAACGGAUGGUAAUACCUCAUGACAUAUACUUAAGGCAUCUUAGGUAUAUCAAAGAUUUAUCACUCAGAGAUGGGCUCGCGUCUGAUUAGCUAGAUGGUGAGGUAACGGCUCACCAUGGCGACGAUCAGUAGCCGGACUGAGAGGUUGAACGGCCACAUUGGGACUGAGACACGGCCCAGACUCCUACGGGAGGCAGCAGUGGGGAAUAUUGCACAAUGGGGGAAACCCUGAUGCAGCGAUGCCGCGUGGAGGAAGAAGGUUUUCGGAUUGUAAACUCCUGUCUUAAAGGACGAUAAUGACGGUACUUUAGGAGGAAGCUCCGGCUAACUACGUGCCAGCAGCAGC
This 463-nucleotide ribosomal RNA is filed under the name uncultured bacterium. RNAcentral describes it as "bacterial SSU rRNA". It matches the Rfam family "Bacterial small subunit ribosomal RNA", at positions 36 to 518 of the family's 1533-position model. The record is from RNAcentral.